Phyllostomus discolor (pale spear-nosed bat) is the source of this 322-nucleotide long non-coding RNA. RefSeq lists it as uncharacterized. The transcript is spliced from 2 exons. Lineage: Eukaryota; Metazoa; Chordata; Mammalia; Chiroptera; Phyllostomidae. The record is from RefSeq and is a predicted model, not a curated record.
GAAAGGAGGACUUGGCAUAUGGAUGAUAACAGGAUUACCUGAGGAAGAAAACCAAAGCAAGGAAAACAAAUAAAGGCUAAAAACUAAUAUGGAAGAAAGUUUCCUUCACCUUAAGAAACCAACAAACCAAAGAAGAUUUGAUUUGAAAAAUCAUACCGUGCACCUGCGAAUUCUGACCACAAACGAACAACAAAGGCUAGUAAAAGUACUACACUGGAAAGGAAAGGAAAAACUGCCAUGGACAUUUUAGCAAAAAGAACAGGUGUUUCUAAAGGAAAUUAGAUCACCCUCAAACUUUUUGACACUAACAGCUUAUGGCAGA